Molecule: microRNA precursor, 94 nt
Organism: Urocitellus parryii (Arctic ground squirrel)
Lineage: Eukaryota; Metazoa; Chordata; Mammalia; Rodentia; Sciuridae
Source: Ensembl
CCUUGGAGUAAAGUAGCAGCACAUAAUGGUUUGUGGAUUUUGAAAAGGUGCAGGCCAUAUUGUGCUGCCUCAAAAAUACAAGGAUCUGAUCUUC